UUUUCUCCUUCUUUUGAUAUUUAGCUUUAGCAACUAUGUUUGAGAGGUUAGAAAUCUCAGCAACCACGUCGCACUGAUGUUCUGGCUCAUGAAGAAGCAGGUGCAGCGUAGUGUAUCAUGACAGACUGAAAUGGAAUUCCAGCCGUGUGAAGGCUCAGUAAAGAUCCCAGUCUGUAUCUACAGAAACUCUGGCAAGAACCUUCUAUGAAAGAUGGGUUUCUAGGGGAAUACAUCACGAUGGCAGACCUAUUCAAACUUCUAAGUUUCGCAUUCUGCUUUUAUGGGUUUUCUAUCACCUCCCUCAUCAGCAAAUUAUCAACACUCACUUCGCUCCGCUGACAGUGUUCCUGCCUGUGGCAUUCCUAUCUCCUUCUUAUGUUCUGUUUUAAAUGCACUCUGAGCUGAGACAUUAGGUAGUACGUUAUAGUGACAUUGGCUGUAUAUUUCCUUGAAACAUACGAACCUUUCCAUUCACAUGUGUUCUAUAUUCUAUCAUUUUACUGUGAAUACAUUGAGUUAGAUUACUGUUGGCUUACUGAUUAC
RNAcentral lists this long non-coding RNA (543 nucleotides) under Felis catus (domestic cat). RNAcentral describes it as "lncRNA (ENSFCAG00000041669.2)". Lineage: Eukaryota; Metazoa; Chordata; Mammalia; Carnivora; Felidae. The record is from RNAcentral.